UCGAGGUGUACGAGGCUUUUC
This 21-nucleotide non-coding RNA is filed under the name Arabidopsis thaliana (thale cress). Lineage: Eukaryota; Viridiplantae; Streptophyta; Magnoliopsida; Brassicales; Brassicaceae. The record is from RNAcentral.